UACGGAGGAUCCAAGCGUUAUCCGGAUUUAUUGGGUUUAAAGGGUGCGUAGGCGGACCUUUAAGUCAGUGGUGAAAGUUUGUAGCUCAACUAUAAAAUUGCCAUUGAAACUGAAGGUCUUGAGUGUAAAUGAGGUAGGCGGAAUGUGUUGUGUAGCGGUGAAAUGCUUAGAUAUAACACAGAACACCAAUUGCGAAGGCAGCUUACUAGGAUACAACUGACGCUGAGGCACGAAAGCGUGGGGAUCAAACAGG
This 253-nucleotide ribosomal RNA is filed under the name uncultured bacterium. RNAcentral's name for it is "partial 16S ribosomal RNA". It matches the Rfam family "Bacterial small subunit ribosomal RNA", at positions 524 to 776 of the family's 1533-position model. The record is from RNAcentral.